This is a long non-coding RNA of Acinonyx jubatus (cheetah), 3907 nucleotides long. RefSeq lists it as uncharacterized. The transcript has 7 exons. The record is from RefSeq and is a predicted model, not a curated record. Lineage: Eukaryota; Metazoa; Chordata; Mammalia; Carnivora; Felidae.
CUAAUCCAAUGACUGAUGUCCUCAGAAGAGAAGAAGACACAUGGAAAAGACAAACAACCAUGCGAAGACGGAGGCAGAGAUUGAAGUGAUCUAGGGACAAGCCAAGGAAUGCCAAAGAUUGCUGGCAAUCACAAGAAACUGGAAAAGACAAGGAAGGUUCCUUCCUCCCCUCGAGCCUUCAGAGCAAAAGCACGGCUUUGAUUUCAGACUUCCAGCCUCCAGAACUGUACAGGCCAAUAUCCUACACUCCUCCAGCAGAAGUGCUCUGAAAGAAGGAAGUUGCUAAAGCCAGCACAAACGAAAGCUCAAUAUCUGAGGACAGAGAACAAAGGCACCGAAGUGUGUGCAGCCAGUGUCCGUAACAACACUCUCGGUCUGAAGGUCACUCUUGGAUGCCACAUCUUUUCUGGGUCUCCAGGGACCGUGAGGGGCUAAUGGCCUGGCUGGACAGCCAAGAACUCCCCUGUUCUGGAAGAGAUGUUUGGCCCACUUCCCUGUACAGACUCCUGGCCACACAGCACUUAGACACCAGCAGCUGCUCCAGUUUUCCUGAGGCUCUAAGGAGACCUGUCUACCCAAUUUACGAGCUCUUCAAGCUGCAAAAGGCCUCCCCAGACAAGGCUCAAGAACAUAAAUAUCUCCAAAGAUAGGCAAUUCAAGCUCUCUCGGCCUCAGUUGCCAUCUUCCUGGAAACCUCUGCGCCAUGAGAGCCAAGUGGAGGAAGAAGCAAAAGCACAGGCUAAGGAGAAAAAGAAGAAAGAUGGGACACAGGUCCAAGUAAACCACUAGCUUAUGCACCCACGGAAGCCACAGGAGCAGAAAUAAGGAAAGCCAGAGGCCAGGGACACGGGACCUCAGAAGAAAAAAAGGAGCCUCAUGAAAGAAUGCUAAGGUUUCUUUGGGAAACCCAAUAGAUAAAACUCCAUACCGAGAGAUUAAGGAUUCUUAACCCAGGGUCCAGGAACAGGCUCAGGAAUCCAACAGGCCCUGACACCUGUUUCCUAAAUGAAUCAGUGAACGCAUGAACUAGUUUACAAGACCUGGGUAUCGUCUCCAGCCAUCAAAAAAGAGACUUAAAUUGCUUCCAACCCCAGCAGCAGGCAGCUGGACUCACUGGGGAAUCAGACACUGGAAGAGGAAGCCUAAAUGCCUCCGAGGCCUCACAGCAAAAAGCCUGACCGAUGUUGAAAAAAGAGGUGGUUCUGCAUAGUGGCAUACACUCAAGAGCUCUUAAGCCACUCCCAGGUCCUCAUCCCAGCUCCCCUCAUUUACCUGCUCUGUCACCUCAGGCACAUCCUUUACCCUCUCUGAACCUACUUCCGUAUCUGUGCUGAGACAAUGAGAAACAAAGACAAGAAAUUUUAAGAAAAAAUCAGGCACCAAUGACCCAAAUGCCGCCUCAAGAUUUUGUCUCAUGCCUGCAAAUGGAAUCGGGAUGUUCUCCUAUGGCCCUAAAUACACAAAUGAGAGAUGUGACCUCCUGUUUGCUGGUCCUGAGGACUGCCACAAAAUCAACCGACCGGUCCCCAUAGGAACGUGGAGCUACUACAACCACAGGGGUUAUCUCAUUAUUUCAGAAUCAUUUCCUAAUUCCUACCAAGCUGGGAGCUUCCAAAGAGCAGGCUGUGGGGUCUCAGACUUUUCCACACCUGAAUAUUACAUCAUCUGACAUGUUUGAGACUCACAACAGACUCCCCAGACAAAACUGAACCUCUAGGAGGUAAAGGAGCACUUCCCAAUAAAGACCCCAGCAGAAACAUUUGUUCCCCAUCAUAUGCCCAGCGUGAAACCCCCAGAAGUCACUGAGGAUGAAAGUCAAGGGAAGGAGGGAAGAAGGCUUUUUGCAGUGAGGAAAAAAAAAAAAAAUAGGGAAUCUAAAAAUCCUGGCGAUUGCAAGAGAAAGAAACAGUGCAAACCCUAAAGGAGACAGACCGAUCGUAUUUUUCUACCCUGUGAUGAGACAGAAACCAUGAAUGAGGCUCAGCAGACUUUGCAUCCAGGAAACCCCUCAGCAGUAACAGCUCAGAGGCAGGGACAGAGGGAAGAUGGGUGUUCCUCCAGAUUGCUCCUGGGGGCUCACUGUCACAGCUAGAGGCAACUUCAGGCGGGCACCUAUGAGUCAAGAUUCAAGGACUGAGCCAUUUGGGGGGUGAUGUCCCUUUAAAUAAAGGAAGUAAGGCAGGGCUCCGCAGCUGUGGCUAUAAACGCUCUCUCCCAGCCUCUGUCAGAACCACCCACUGCUCUGGCAAGCUUGUGUCUCCAGCCCUGGUCACCCCUCCCGCUGGCUCAAAGCUGGCCUCAGAUUUUGAGGACUGGCUGCACCUCGCGGGCCCGCUCCCAUAUAGACAAAAACCAACCCCUAGGUGCAGCAGAGGGGUGAGGAUAGGGGGAUCAGCUGGUGGCCAUGGAGAAAUAAAACAACCAGGAUUAUUUGCUCCGUGGGGGUCCUGUCUCAGCAACCAUGCCUGGACUGGAUUCUCCUCACACCUAAACGGUCACCAGCGAGACCUGGAGGCCACCAGUGGGACUCUUUGGGGGGGGGGGGGUCACAAUUUCAUUUUCUUGGACCCUGUAUUCCAAAUGGAAGGUCAACAAGGAUGGCUUCCCCUUCCUAAGGGGUCUCUAGGAAUCUAUCGGUUCAAAAGAAUUCCAGAAACCCAGGGACUCUCAGGGGCCACACUGAAAAAAUUCUUCCUGCCCAGCUGAGCAGUGGAGGCGGCCAGUCCGCAUUUCACUCACCAAUAAGCAUGGAUUCUCUCUGGUAUUCCUGAGUGAGGUAGGACCGCUGGGUCACACAGUAUACGUAUCUCUCCAAGACAUACCAGCACAUCUCAUAGUAGAAGGGGUAACGGAAUUUGGGCUGCACCUGAAAGCAAAGACCCAGGAGUAGAAGUCAGUUUCUGGAGGGCAAAGGAGAAACAGGGAGGAAACUGGGAGGAGGGGGUUUCUGCAGGUGGGAGUUAUUUUCACCAUCUUAAGCAAGAGCACAAAUGGUGUGAGGGGAAAAAUGGGGGAGGCGGGCCGGAAGGCAGGAGAGAGGCGCUGGAAGGGGCAAGAUACCAGUAGCAUGCACAAAUGAGGAGGAAGAGGGGAGAAAGAGGCCUAUGUGACAGCAUCAUUUCAAAGCUCCCUGAGCUGCAUGCCGCCAGGGAAAGGCGGAUGGGGUCCGCUUUGUGCUUCUGUGAGAUGCAGAGAAACAAGAGUUGUCCCCUGACCUACUGACGGAGGGUGCGGGUACCUGCGGAUGUGAUCCUGAUUCCAGCUACAACAAACACAGGCUCCUCCUUGUUCUCAAAAAAUUCUUACACAGACUCUGCUAUCCCUCCCUGCCCCUUGAAAGGCAGAAAUCGACCCCCAAACCUUACCCAUUUGCAGACGGGCUAUCAAGCAUCUCCUGCACUCUGGGAAGGAGGCAACACGAGGCGGACCAAUGAGGAGGGAGGGGGUGUGGCCUCUCCUACCGCCAGGGGCGGGGCCUCAGAGGGGCCCACCUCCUGCUCCUCCCCGACAACCACCUGGCACUGCCCAGCCCAUAUUCCAGAAGGACUCCCUAGACCCAAGUCCCCACGGUGACCUGGGACCACUCUAACACCAGGGUCUGGUGCAGGAAACCAGAUGGAGAUUCCCUUUUGGCAGUUUCUUAUAGGGGAGGAAGUGUAGGUGCAGACAGCUUUGUGUAUCAGAAUUAUGAAAAGGCCUGGGCUCCAGGAGGAUUCUGAUGGGUCUAUAUGGACGAGAUGGCAGAGGAAGAUGGGAAGGAAGCAAUACCACUGAUGGCCUUGCACAGAUGAACCUUCUGGAAACUUCAUCCUGAGAGGGAGAGGAAGAGAAGUCUCCCCUCAUUGUUGCUGAACCCAAGGGAAACCGGCUGGGUGAAAACAAAUAAAUGCUGAUGAAGGAAUUCAAA